CCUACGGGAGGCAGCAGUGAGGAAUAUUGGUCAAUGGACGAGAGUCUGAACCAGCCAAGUAGCGUGAAGGAUGACUGCCCUAUGGGUUGUAAACUUCUUUUAUAUGGGAAUAAAAUGUUCCACGUGUGGGAUUUUGUAUGUACCAUAUGAAUAAGGAUCGGCUAACUCCGUGCCAGCAGCCGCGGUAAUACGGAGGAUCCGAGCGUUAUCCGGAUUUAUUGGGUUUAAAGGGAGCGUAGGUGGAUUGAUAAGUCAGAUGUGAAAGUCUGCGGCUCAACCGUAAAAUUGCAGUUGAAACUGGCAGUCUUGAGUACAGUAGAGGUGGGCGGAAUUCGUGGUGUAGCGGUGAAAUGCUUAGAUAUCACGAAGAACUCCGAUUGCGAAGGCAGUUCACUGGACUGCAACUGACACUGAGGCUCGAAAGUGUGGGUAUCAAACAGGAUUAGAUACCCCAGUAGUC
This 460-nucleotide ribosomal RNA is filed under the name uncultured bacterium. Its description in RNAcentral is "partial 16S ribosomal RNA". It matches the Rfam family "Bacterial small subunit ribosomal RNA", at positions 338 to 795 of the family's 1533-position model. The record is from RNAcentral.